RNAcentral lists this transfer-messenger RNA (359 nucleotides) under Pararobbsia silviterrae. Its description in RNAcentral is "Standard tmRNA". It matches the Rfam family "transfer-messenger RNA". Rfam says of the family: Bacterial tmRNA, also known as 10Sa RNA or SsrA, is named for its dual tRNA and mRNA-like properties. Its role is to liberate the mRNA from a stalled ribosome. Lineage: Bacteria; Pseudomonadati; Pseudomonadota; Betaproteobacteria; Burkholderiales; Burkholderiaceae. The record is from Rfam by way of RNAcentral.
GGGGGCGACCUGGUUUCGACAGGGGUAGCGAAGCGGCUCAGGGCAUGCCGAGGACCCGUCACCUCGUUAAUCAAUGGGAAAAACGUAACUGCAAACGACGAUACGUUCGCACUGGCAGCCUAAGGGCCGCCGUCCUCGUACUAGCUCGCUGACGGGCUAGGGUCGCAAGACCACGCGAGGUCAUAUACGUCAGAUAAGCCUGCGUGGCGUCACGACGCGUGGGACGAAAACUUAGUGAAUCGCCGUCCGGCAGCGUGUUCGUCCGCGUCCGUCCGGUUAAAUCAAAUGACUGAACUAAGCAUGUAGAACUGGUCGUAGAGUACUUCUGGACGCGGGUUCGAUUCCCGCCGCCUCCACCA